UACGUAGGGGCAAGCGUUAUCCGGAAUUACUGGGUGUAAAGGGAGCGUAGACGGUAAUGUAAGUCUGGAGUGAAAGGCGGGGGCCCAACCCCCGGACUGCUCUGGAAACUAUGUUACUAGAGUGCAGGAGAGGUAAGCGGAAUUCCUAGUGUAGCGGUGAAAUGCGUAGAUAUUAGGAGGAACACCAGUGGCGAAGGCGGCUUACUGGACUGUAACUGACGUUGAGGCUCGAAAGCGUGGGGAGCAAACAGG
RNAcentral lists this ribosomal RNA (252 nucleotides) under uncultured bacterium. Its description in RNAcentral is "partial 16S ribosomal RNA". It matches the Rfam family "Bacterial small subunit ribosomal RNA", at positions 524 to 776 of the family's 1533-position model. The record is from RNAcentral.